UACUCACUUCACUUAGCAUCAGUUCAUGUAAGUCUCUCUAGGUUUUUUUCUGUAAUCAGCUUGCAGAAAUUGUUAAAUGCAGUGGAGUUUCUAAUGGUCAGGCCCCAGCCACGAGGAGAAAGGUCCCUGACUUGGGGUGAAGUUAGAGAAUGUCUCUGCCCACAGCUGCUACUCCCUGGACAGGGGUGAGCGGUCUCUCCUUCAGGUCUUGUUCUCCCUCCCAGCAAGAUUUGGGGGCUUAGAUGAGCUGCCCCGCCCUCAAGUUCCUGAGCGGAGUCGCCAGAGGAGCCCUCGCCAUUCGGGACGCACUGCGCUGGACAUAGGUCUGUAGGUGUCCCGGAAACUGAGGAGACCCCAGUCUCUGUCCUGAGUUCGAGCAGAAGGAACACUGGAGAAACUGCGUCACACCACAGGGGCUGAAUUGGUCCCCAGCGUCCUGCUCCCCGUUAAAUGGACCAUCAGCGUUCUUACCAGCAGCCUACAGAAGGGACCUGAUGCAUUUCCUGCUGCAUCUCCACCCUGGAUGACACCCCGGUUUUAACCUGCUCCCGAGAUCUGGGCUUCAAUCUUUGGACUCUCAACUGCCCUUCAGCCUGGAGAACAUGGGACAACUAACUGACUGGGAACAACUGACCGGGACAAAACACCCCUUAGAUGCCCUGCUGCCAUCCCCAAAUCCCACACCUCACGCCUCACCUCCUGGCAUGAAUCCCCAAAUCUCUAUGACCCUUGCCAGCUCGAAGCAGUUAAGAGGAGAUCCGCGCCCCUUUUCCCACAUGCCUUUAGAGGUGACAGCUUGAGGGGGGGAUAAAGAGGGGACCCCUGAACUUGGAAAAUCCUGGAAGGAGAAAAUCUUCAAUUCUGUCUCAAUAACUGAUUUUGCCCCAUGUCUUUUUCCUUAAAUGAAUUUAAGUUCCAACUGCUUGAGGGGGGAAUGAUGUG
Long non-coding RNA from Sarcophilus harrisii (Tasmanian devil), 942 nucleotides. RefSeq lists it as uncharacterized. Lineage: Eukaryota; Metazoa; Chordata; Mammalia; Dasyuromorphia; Dasyuridae. The transcript is spliced from 3 exons. The record is from RefSeq and is a predicted model, not a curated record.